Molecule: ribosomal RNA, 468 nt
Filed under: uncultured bacterium
Lineage: Bacteria
Description: partial 16S ribosomal RNA
Rfam family: Bacterial small subunit ribosomal RNA
Source: RNAcentral
GACGAACGCUGGCGGCGUGCUUAACACAUGCAAGUCGAACGGAAAGGCCCUGCUUUUGUGGGGUGCUCGAGUGGCGAACGGGUGAGUAACACGUGAGCAACCUGCCCUUGACUUUGGGAUAACUUCAGGAAACUGGGGCUAAUACCGGAUAGGAGCUCCUGCUGCAUGGUGGGGGUUGGAAAGUUUCGGCGGUUGGGGAUGGACUCGCGGCUUAUCAGCUUGUUGGUGGGGUAGUGGCUUACCAAGGCUUUGACGGGUAGCCGGCCUGAGAGGGUGACCGGCCACAUUGGGACUGAGAUACGGCCCAGACUCCUACGGGAGGCAGCAGUGGGGAAUAUUGCACAAUGGGCGGAAGCCUGGUGCAGCAACGCCGCGUGCGGGAUGACGGCCUUCGGGUUGUAAACCGCUUUCGCCUGUGACGAAGCGUGAGUGACGGUAAUGGGUAAAGAAGCACCGGCUAACUACGUG